This is a long non-coding RNA of Oncorhynchus tshawytscha (Chinook salmon), 1643 nucleotides long. NCBI's taxonomy places the organism in Eukaryota, Metazoa, Chordata, Actinopteri, Salmoniformes, Salmonidae. The record is from Ensembl.
AUGAAAGUGAAAACAUGGAGUAUGAUUUCAAGACUUGCUGCUAUCGAAUACAGAUCGCCCCGUGAUCAAUUUGAUAGAUUAUUAACGUUUAUUAAUACCUAAAGUUGGUUUAGAAAAGUAGUUUGAAGUGAUUUGUAAAAGUAUAUAGGCAACUUUUGUAAUUUUAAAAAGUGACAUUGCGUCUUGUAGAGGGGCAUUUUUCUGGAUCAGACCGGUCUUCAGCAAAUCACAUUUUGGGUAUACAAUGACGGAUUUAAUCGGGAAAAAGACCCAAUUGUGAUGUUUAUGUGACAUAUAGGAGUGCCAAGAAAGAAGCUCGUCAAAGGAAAGAACAUGGACACAAUGCAUUUGGGAUCAAGAAGAAGAUCUUCGCAGAAAUUAAUCAAGUCCAUGUAAUGGAUAUAGACAAAAAGAUAAUUCAAGGACUAUCAGAGGUAGAGAGGCGAGGCAGGGGUGAGGACAUCAUCCUUGCUAUUUUGACAGUCCCUAAAGGACAAUACAGAAGAGGACUCGAGACCACAGCAGCGAUCCUGCUCUUGCCCUACUUCUUCAAAGAGGACCAGAGUGGCCUUUGCACAAAUGAUCUGUUUCUUCAUAAACAUAGGUUUCACCGCUCUUCACUCCUUUACUGCACAUUGGCGGAAAUCCAUUUCACCAUGAGAGUGAAAUCCCGCUGGCCUUUGAUGGGGAGAACAUCCACGCCCUAGAGGACGUCCCCAUGGGACUUGGGGCUCUGUUAGGGCUGUAUUUUUUUUUUCCCCUUAAAAUUCCCAAAAAUGUCAGAAAAACACUUAUGUUCUUAAGUUACUGUGUUAAGACAAUUUGGGGUGAAGUUACCAGGGCCGGUCAUAAAGAUGACAAACUUCCUAACAUAACUAAGUGGUUGUUGGGCAAGUGGUUGUUAGACACACACACACACACACACACACACACACACACACACACACACACACUAAAGCUAAAAAAUCUGUAUUUAGCAAGUCUACAACCAUAAUAAAUAAUACAUUAACUUUGUAUAGUGCUUUUCAUUACAUUUAAAAUGUUUUUUUAAUAAUGAUGUACAAUAAAAACAACAUACAUUAAAAAUGAAUCAUAGGUAAACUAACAACUAGUAAACUAGCAAUUUUGUAGUGUGUUUUCUUUGGUAAAUUGUUUUGUAAAUAUUAUUUCACAUUUGUGGUGCCACUAAAUAAACAAUUAAUUAUUUAAUAUUGUUAUUAUUAUUAAAAUAUGCAGAUGCAGAUUAUUUAGCUACCUGACCCAUGAAAAAAGUCACAGCGGGGCUGAUGGAAACAGGAUGUGCCGAUAGAAUUGUAAAAAUACCGACAGACAAUUUGUUCGUUCGACAUGGUGGGAUCUUUUUGUGUCGGCAAAAGUAAUUAUGCGUGAAAUUGCGGUGGAAACGGAUUUAUGCGCAAAUAUUGAUACAGUAUAAUAGGCUAUACCUAUCACGCGAUUAUAUGUUGUUUGGUCCUCCCUCUACGACUCCGGAAACUAUGCAGUUUAUUAGGUUACAGAUGAUAAAUAAUAAAUUAUGAUGAACUUUACAGUGUGGUAAAAGUGCACGUGAUGAGCUUGAUGCUCCUUUCCAAUAAAUAUCAAGGGUCUUAUUCUGGUGACAUGUUACUGGUUGUGACUGCCGU